UCUAAAGUAUUCAAAAAUUCAAAGCAAACAACUUAGUCUCAGCUUAUGAGUUUUUGUUAUCAAAACGAGAAAUUUCAAAGCUCCAAGUGGUUUUAAGUGGCUGUUGUACUUAAGAAAAGAUCCUACCUUACAGAAUGGCAUCCUACAUGUUCUUUGUUUAAGUUUGGUUUCCAAUCUAUCGAAAUGUCUCGCAACGCAAUGCCUUCACUGAAUCCAAUAAUGCUAGAAAAGCUUGUAAGAUUUUUGAAGAAAACCGUGGUUGGCUAUGGGUCGUCAGGCAUGGCCCGAAAUAACUACAGCCCUGAACAGUGAUGCUAGUGGGUGUACUAAGACAUCGGAACAAUGGUGUAAGUACUGGACGGACAAAAAAGGAGCAAUUAAGAGAAAGUCUGGCUUAAUUGAAGC
Long non-coding RNA from Helicoverpa armigera (cotton bollworm), 405 nucleotides. RefSeq lists it as uncharacterized. The record is from RefSeq and is a predicted model, not a curated record. Lineage: Eukaryota; Metazoa; Arthropoda; Insecta; Lepidoptera; Noctuidae. The transcript has 3 exons.